AAGGGAGGAAGGGGGUCCAUGAAAGCAAAGUAUCUCGGGCCCACGAAAAUCGUAACGCACCCCUGAGCAGAACAGCUAAGAGGAGCAGGGGGGCAAGAGAUUGAUUAUAGGGUCAGACCCUCUAUGACUGCGGAAGGUUGGUGGAGAGGUCUGAGCAAGCCUGGGCAGGUCUCUACAUGUGAAAUUGUACCUGAACACGCUGUCGGUCACAAGGUCAGCGUUUAGAAAGAAGAGCUGGCUGUGAGGCGGGGUUCUUCUCAACCAGGGGUGACCCCCCCACGCCGCCCCCCCAUUCAGAAGACUUUGGCAACGUCUGGAGGCAAUCCGGCCUGUCACAACUAGGGGAAAGUUGGCUCCUGGUAUCCAGGGGCGCCGCUAAACAUCCCACAAGGCACAGGACAGCCCCCGCACAACAAAGAAUCAUCCAGAACUAUCAAAAACAGCAGUAGUGCUGAGGUUGAGCCACCUCGAGGUUAACGGCAGCUGCAGGGCCCGUUAGAACCCAUGUCUCUCUCCCACGACCACCAACUUCCACGCUGGGGGCAGGGCGACCUGCAGAGGGAUCAGACCCUUCGCCCCUGAAGCUAGGCUUGCACCUGGCCGAGGACUUGGAGAAGCCGAAGGAGAUCGGGCAGCUGGAGGCCUGGCCGCGGCCCGGAGCCACGAGGUGGGCCAGCCGCUGACCAGAAACGCCCUGGAGCUGCGGCAGUGGUCGCUCCUGCGUCAACCUGCGGGCCCGCUACUUCACUGCAGAGCAAAUGCUGAACGGUCCCGCUGGGGUCACAGGCUCACCCCUGAACCACUUACCAUGAACCCCAGAAGAAAGGAGGUUGGAAUAAAUCUGUAAAAUCAGUAGCUGCUACAAUCCGCUCAGGAACGCAGCCAACAUCACCAGGAGUGAAGACAGCGCUGAUGAGGGGAUGAGAAGGGUUUCCCUUUGAGCACGGAGUCCUUCCAGAGACCGACCAAAGAGGGGGGAGAGUCUGGAUGUUGGAACACAAAUCUCUAACACAGGCACUCACACGUACAGCAGGAAGAAACAUUUGGUUCUCCGUCACCUGAAGAAAGGAUGGUAAGUGUGACUGGCAGUUCCCUUAAUCACUCCAGAAAGGCUUGUUAUAUAAAUAAAUGAUUCAGAUACGAAGUGACUUACCUUAGGAAA
Molecule: long non-coding RNA, 1162 nt
Organism: Felis catus (domestic cat)
Lineage: Eukaryota; Metazoa; Chordata; Mammalia; Carnivora; Felidae
Exons: 3
Source: RefSeq, a predicted model, not a curated record